Molecule: ribosomal RNA, 253 nt
Filed under: uncultured bacterium
Lineage: Bacteria
Description: partial 16S ribosomal RNA
Rfam family: Bacterial small subunit ribosomal RNA
Source: RNAcentral
UACGGGGGGGGCAAGCGUUGUUCGGAAUUACUGGGCGUAAAGCGCACGUAGGCGGAUUAGUAAGUCAGGGGUGAAAUCCCGGGGCUCAACCUCGGAACUGCCUUUGAUACUGCUGAUCUCGAGUCUGGAAGAGGUGAGUGGAAUUCCUAGUGUAGAGGUGAAAUUCGUAGAUAUUAGGAAGAACACCAGUGGCGAAGGCGGCUCACUGGUCCGGUACUGACGCUGAGGUGCGAAAGCGUGGGGAGCAAACACG